GGAAGCCCCCGGGGCCCCGGCGGCCGCGGGGUCUCGGGGCGACCCGCCCGCGCCGAGCUGCCCGAGGGCGCCUUUGUGUCCGGAUCUGGGUGAACGAAACCGCCACCGUUUUGCUCUCGCGUCCGAGUUCCCUUUUCAGAUUCCCCCCAACCCCACCCCCACCCCGCUCCCCGCCCGGGAGCCGGGAGGCCGCAGCCGAGGCUUCAUCACUAAAAAGUAGACGCGGGCCCCGCCACCCCUACCCCGCCUCCGGAAGUGCCGGUCCCCGCCACCCACCCCAGGCAGGGUCCAGGCUCCCGAGACGGAAGGGUCUUUUACGGAUCAUCUCUGAAGAAAUGGAAGCUCCAGAAAGAUAAAUACCUUCUCCCAAGUCACGCCGCCUGUAAAUGGCUGAGUCGGGACGAGGAGGAAGGGAACCAACAUGGAUACGGCACUUACUCCGCGUCCAAGAGCCUCACAGAAGUCGUCUUCGCUCCAUCUGCAGAGGAGAUUCAGGGAGGUUUAGGCACCACGCCGACAUCACGCAGCGGUGAAGGGGCAGGGCUGGCAGUUGAAUGUAGGUCUAGCUGAUUCUUAUAAUAUGUAAUUCUUUUCUUUUAAAAAUAUUUACUUAUUAGGCUGCAAAGGGUCUUAGUUGUGGUCCACCGAAUCAGUGGGGGCAUGUGAAUUUUUUUUUUUUUUUCUGGUUGCGGCAUGUGAGAACUAGUUCCUUGACCAGGGAUUGAAGUCGGCCCCCCUGCACUGGGAGUGCCCACUCUUAGCCACUGGACCACCAGGGAAUUCCCAUAAUCUGUAAUUCUUGCUAGACCUUUAUCUGUCUGGUUCACACGUGUCUCCCCAACAUCGAGGGAAUGAAUGAAGGAAUCAAGCUCUUUCCAGUCUCCCACACCUCCAUCCAGAUUCACCCUGAUCAAAGUUAACAGACCCUAGGGGCGAUUACACGGUUGCCAUGGUAACCGAACUUUAGAAGUAAGUGCUUCAGGCAACCCAGGACAAAACCAGUGAACCCUUCUCUCUCUGGAAUAAUUACAGCUUUUCUGUCCAAGCCGACAAAGGUUAACACAAAGCAGCAAAGAGGAGAGAGUCCCUGAUGACAAUAAAGUCAUACUUUAUUGCUCUUGACCA
Molecule: long non-coding RNA, 1125 nt
Filed under: Bos indicus x Bos taurus (hybrid cattle)
Lineage: Eukaryota; Metazoa; Chordata; Mammalia; Artiodactyla; Bovidae
Description: lncRNA (ENSBIXG00000012211.1)
Source: RNAcentral